Molecule: ribosomal RNA, 363 nt
Filed under: uncultured bacterium
Lineage: Bacteria
Description: partial 16S ribosomal RNA
Rfam family: Bacterial small subunit ribosomal RNA
Source: RNAcentral
CCUACGGGUGGCAGCAGUGAGGAAUAUUGGACAAUGGACGGAAGUCUGAACCAGCCAUGCCGCGUGCAGGAUGACGGCUCUAUGAGUUGUAAACUGCUUUCGUGUUAGGGUAAACACCCCUACGUGUAGGGGCUUGACAGUAUAAUACGAAUACGGAUCGCCUAACUACGUGCCAGCAGCCGCGGUAAUACGGAGGGGCCAAGCGUUGUCCGGAUUUGUUGGGUGUAAAGGGUGCGUAGGCGGUUUGAUAAGUUAGAGGUGAAAUACCGGUGCUCAACACCGGAACUGCCUCUAAUACUGUUGAACUAGAGAGAAGUAGCGGUAGGCGGAAUGUAUGGUGUAGCGGUGAAAUGCGUAGAGAUC